Molecule: ribosomal RNA, 250 nt
Filed under: uncultured Cytophagia bacterium
Lineage: Bacteria; Pseudomonadati; Bacteroidota; Cytophagia
Description: partial 16S ribosomal RNA
Rfam family: Bacterial small subunit ribosomal RNA
Source: RNAcentral
UACGGAGGGUGCAAGCGUUGUCCGGAUUUAUUGGGUUUAAAGGGUGCGUAGGCGGCCUUUUAAGUCAGUGGUGAAAUACUCCAGCUUAACUGGAGGGGUGCCAUUGAUACUGGGAGGCUUGAGUACAGUUGAGGUAGGCGGAAUUGACGGUGUAGCGGUGAAAUGCUUAGAUAUCAUCAAGAACACCGAUAGCGAAGACAGCUUACUAAACUUUAACUGACGCUGAGGCACGAAAGCGUGGGGAGCAAAC